RNAcentral lists this ribosomal RNA (693 nucleotides) under Enterococcus avium. RNAcentral's name for it is "bacterial SSU rRNA". It matches the Rfam family "Bacterial small subunit ribosomal RNA", at positions 839 to 1533 of the family's 1533-position model. Lineage: Bacteria; Bacillati; Bacillota; Bacilli; Lactobacillales; Enterococcaceae. The record is from RNAcentral.
UUCAGUGCUGCAGCUAACGCAUUAAGCACUCCGCCUGGGGAGUACGACCGCAAGGUUGAAACUCAAAGGAAUUGACGGGGGCCCGCACAAGCGGUGGAGCAUGUGGUUUAAUUCGAAGCAACGCGAAGAACCUUACCAGGUCUUGACAUCCUUUGACCACUCUAGAGAUAGAGCUUCCCCUUCGGGGGCAAAGUGACAGGUGGUGCAUGGUUGUCGUCAGCUCGUGUCGUGAGAUGUUGGGUUAAGUCCCGCAACGAGCGCAACCCUUAUUGUUAGUUGCCAUCAUUUAGUUGGGCACUCUAGCGAGACUGCCGGUGACAAACCGGAGGAAGGUGGGGAUGACGUCAAAUCAUCAUGCCCCUUAUGACCUGGGCUACACACGUGCUACAAUGGGAAGUACAACGAGUCGCGAAGUCGCGAGGCUAAGCUAAUCUCUUAAAGCUUCUCUCAGUUCGGAUUGUAGGCUGCAACUCGCCUACAUGAAGCCGGAAUCGCUAGUAAUCGCGGAUCAGCACGCCGCGGUGAAUACGUUCCCGGGCCUUGUACACACCGCCCGUCACACCACGAGAGUUUGUAACACCCGAAGUCGGUGAGGUAACCUUUUGGAGCCAGCCGCCUAAGGUGGGAUAGAUGAUUGGGGUGAAGUCGUAACAAGGUAGCCGUAUCGGAAGGUGCGGCUGGAUCACCUCCUUU